This 73-nucleotide transfer RNA is filed under the name Ursus americanus (American black bear). It matches the Rfam family "tRNA". Rfam says of the family: Transfer RNA (tRNA) molecules are approximately 80 nucleotides in length. RNAcentral also lists the same sequence under 2 other names. The record is from Rfam by way of RNAcentral. Lineage: Eukaryota; Metazoa; Chordata; Mammalia; Carnivora; Ursidae.
GCCUGGCUGGCUCAGUCGGUAGAGCAUGUGACUCUUGAUCUCAGGGUUGUGAGUUCGAGCUCCACGUUGGGAA